GACGAACGCUGGCGGCGCGCCUAACACAUGCAAGUCGAACGAGCGAGAGAGAGCUUGCUUUCUUGAGCGAGUGGCGAACGGGUGAGUAACGCGUGAGGAACCUGCCUCAAAGAGGGGGACAACAGUUGGAAACGACUGCUAAUACCGCAUAAGCCCACGGUGCCGCAUGGCACAGAGGGAAAAGGAGCAAUCCGCUUUGAGAUGACCUCGCGUCCGAUUAGCUAGUUGGUGAGGUAACGGCCCACCAAGGCGACGAUCGGUAGCCGGACUGAGAGGUUGAACGGCCACAUUGGGACUGAGACACGGCCCAGACUCCUACGGGAGGCAGCAGUGGGGAAUAUUGCACAAUGGGGGAAACCCUGAUGCAGCGACGCCGCGUGGAGGAAGAAGGUCUUCGGAUUGUAAACUCCUGUUGUUGGGGAAGAUAAUGACGGUACCCAACAAGGAAGUGACGGCUAACUACGUG
RNAcentral lists this ribosomal RNA (466 nucleotides) under uncultured bacterium. Its description in RNAcentral is "partial 16S ribosomal RNA". It matches the Rfam family "Bacterial small subunit ribosomal RNA", at positions 28 to 507 of the family's 1533-position model. The record is from RNAcentral.